RNAcentral lists this transfer RNA (61 nucleotides) under bovine gut metagenome. It matches the Rfam family "tRNA", at positions 6 to 65 of the family's 71-position model. Rfam says of the family: Transfer RNA (tRNA) molecules are approximately 80 nucleotides in length. The record is from RNAcentral.
GGUGGCGCAGUGGUAGCGCGGUGGACUGUUAAUCCAUGUGUCGCAGGUUCGAAUCCUGCCC